This 311-nucleotide small nuclear RNA is filed under the name Spermophilus dauricus (Daurian ground squirrel). RNAcentral's name for it is "7SK RNA (ENSSDAG00000012788.1)". It matches the Rfam family "7SK RNA". From Rfam's summary of the family: 7SK was discovered as an abundant small nuclear RNA in the mid-70s but a possible function has only recently been suggested. Two independent studies have found that 7SK RNA binds the CDK9/cyclin T complex (known as elongation factor P-TEFb). P-TEFb activates transcription by phosphorylating the C-terminal domain of RNA polymerase II. Lineage: Eukaryota; Metazoa; Chordata; Mammalia; Rodentia; Sciuridae. The record is from RNAcentral.
GGGUGGGAGGGCAAUUGGGCUGCAAUAUGUCACCCUUUUAAUCACCAGGGUUGAUUCAGCUGAACUGGCUGGCUAGGCAAGUGUCCCCAUCCUCCCUCAUUGCUCCAUGUGCAUCCCUUCUGAAGCUGCACACUAGGUCAAAGGGGACCUGGUACAAGAAGACUGUUCUUCAAUCAAGGUUAUAUGAGUAGCUGCACUCCUCUGCUAGAACUUCCAAACAAGCUCUUAAGCAUGCAAAACCCUAGGCUGUCCCCAAACCUACUGACUCAGAAACUCUGAAGGUAGAGUCCUAUAUCUGUAUUUUCACAAGC